This 577-nucleotide ribosomal RNA is filed under the name Pseudoalteromonas sp. RNAcentral's name for it is "bacterial SSU rRNA". It matches the Rfam family "Bacterial small subunit ribosomal RNA", at positions 356 to 926 of the family's 1533-position model. Lineage: Bacteria; Pseudomonadati; Pseudomonadota; Gammaproteobacteria; Alteromonadales; Pseudoalteromonadaceae. The record is from RNAcentral.
UGGGGAUAUUGCACAAUGGGCGCAAGCCUGAUGCAGCCAUGCCGCGUGUGUGAAGAAGGCCUUCGGGUUGUAAAGCACUUUCAGUCAGGAGGAAAGGUUAGUAGUUAAUACCUGCUAGCUGUGACGUUACUGACAGAAGAAGCACCGGCUAACUCCGUGCCAGCAGCCGCGGUAAUACGGAGGGUGCGAGCGUUAAUCGGAAUUACUGGGCGUAAAGCGUACGCAGGCGGUUUGUUAAGCGAGAUGUGAAAGCCCCGGGCUCAACCUGGGAACUGCAUUUCGAACUGGCAAACUAGAGUGUGAUAGAGGGUGGUAGAAUUUCAGGUGUAGCGGUGAAAUGCGUAGAGAUCUGAAGGAAUACCGAUGGCGAAGGCAGCCACCUGGGUCAACACUGACGCUCAUGUACGAAAGCGUGGGGAGCAAACGGGAUUAGAUACCCCGGUAGUCCACGCCGUAAACGAUGUCUACUAGAAGCUCGGAGCCUCGGUUCUGUUUUUCAAAGCUAACGCAUUAAGUAGACCGCCUGGGGAGUACGGCCGCAAGGUUAAAACUCAAAUGAAUUGACGGGGGCCCCCCA